Molecule: ribosomal RNA, 255 nt
Filed under: uncultured bacterium
Lineage: Bacteria
Description: partial 16S ribosomal RNA
Rfam family: Bacterial small subunit ribosomal RNA
Source: RNAcentral
UACGUAGGGGGCGAGCGUUAUCCGGAAUUACUGGGCGUAAAGCGCACGCAGGCGGUUCGCCAAGUUUGGAGUGACAGUUGGUGGCUCAACCACCAAAGUGCUUUGAAAACUGAUAGACUUGAGGGCUUCAGAGGGACACGGAAUUCCGGGUGGAGUGGUGAAAUGCGGUAGAGAUCCGGAGGAACACCAAAGGCGAAGGCAGUGUCCUGGGGAGUACCUGACGCUCAGGUGCGAAAGCCAGGGGAGCGGAACGGG